AAUAUGCAUUUCAUAAUAUGCAUACAUACAAAUCCUGCAAGUUAAAGCCACAAGAGCCAAUACUCCUCUUAUUCAGCUUUCAAUCUGCAGUCCACAAGGAUCUAAUUUAUGCACAAAAUCUUUUAUAUUCAAUUUUUCAUACGAAUGAACUGAUACUAAGAAUGUGAUAGACAAAAAAAAAAAAAAAAAAAAAAAAAAAAAAUUAAAGUCCAAAUGCCCAAAACCAGUUAAAACAAUGCCCAAUCCAAUGAAGAAAGUUUUCUAUUGCCCAUAUCAAUGAUUCUUAAUAAAAGACAUUUUCACCAUUUUUAGUAAUAACACCAUAGUAAGCCUUGUUUUUUUACAGAUCAAGAUUCCACUCUCUCUCUCUAUCUCUCUUCUCUCUCCUCUCUCUCUCAGAUGUGAAUCUGAAUCCACUUGUCGGCGAAGCACCGGCGACCUGAAGCACUUGCAAACCACCGCACCGGUGACGAGGCCUUGAUGCCAACAAGGCUUCUCCGAUAAGAUCUCCUCCUCCCUCGAGGACGUCCCGCCUGUACUCGUCUUGGAUCUGCUCCUCGACUAGGCCAACGAGACCAAGGUUCAUAGGCAGCCUCCGCCUCCGCCUCCAUGGCCAGAUCGAAGGCGUCGGGUGCGUGGUGAGGGAGGAGGAGUGGAUCCGAUGAGGGAGGUGAAGCAGUUUCGAUGAGGGAGGAGGAGGUACGGUGAGAGAGGGCGCAUGGUAAUGGAGUAUCCGAUCAGUGAGGGUGCAUGGCUAUGCGGUAGGUGUAGUUGUAUUUUUUUAGCUGAUAGGUAGCUCGAUAAUUCAUGUUGUAGUUUUGACUCGAUUAUGUUCUAAGUAUUUCUUCCUUUUUAUUACAAAAAGCUGAAAUAAGUUGAUUAUUAGUGGUUAGUAACUGAUUAUUGGGAGUCAGUAAUCAAGUUAUUAGGAGUCAGUAACUGAUUUAUUGGGAGUCAGUAACUGAUUUUUGGGGGGUCAGUAACCGAUUAUUGGGAGGCGGGUCAAGACGGGUCAACGCGGGUUAAGACGGGUCAAGGCGCCUCAAUGCGGCCACUUGGUGGCCUUAGAUGGGUCAAGGCGCGCCAAGCGGCCGCCUUGACCUGCCAAGGAGCUGCCUUGACCCUCCAAGCCCCGUCUUGGGCCGCCUUGACUUGCCUAGGCCUUCCUAGGUUGGCCUAGCGUAGCCAAAGGGCCGCCUUGACCCGUCUAGGGCCGCUAAGGGGCCGCCUUGACCUGCUUAGGGCCGCUAAGCGGUCGCCAUGACCCGCGUAAGCCCGCCUUGACCCAUUCUGACCCGCCUUAACCCGCCUUGACCCUCCUUAACCCGCCUUGACCCUCCUUGGCUCGCCUAGGGCCACCAAGGGGCCGCCAUGACUCACCAAUGGGCUGCCAUGACCCGUCUAGAGCCUCCUUGACCCGCCUUGGGCCAUUUUGACCCUGCCAGUCCCGCCUAGGGCUGCCUAGGGUCGCUAAGUGGACGCCUUAACCCCACUUAGGGCUGCCAUGGGGCCACCUUGACCUACUUAGGGUCGCCUUGACCUACCUAGGGCCACCAAGCGGCAGCCUUGAUUCGCCAAGGAGUUGCCUUGACCCUCCUAGACCCACCUUGGGCUGCCCUGACCCUCCUAGGCUCGCCUAGGGCAGACAAGGGGCCGCAUUGACCCUCCUAGGGCCGCUAAGGGGCCACCUAGACCUGCCUAUGGCCGCCAAGCGGUCACCUUGACCCGCCUAGGCCUGCCUUGACCAGCCAUGGUCCGCCUUGACUCGCCUUAACCCGCCUAGACCCUCCUAGGCUCGCUUAGGGCCACCAUGACCCUCUUAGGGUCGCCUUGGGCAGCUAUGACCCUCCUAGGCCCGCCAAGGUGCUGCCUAGAGCCGCCAAGGGGCCGCCUUAACCCACCUUAACCCGCCUUAACACUCUUAGGCUCGCCGACUGCCCGUCUACGGCCGCCUUGACCCUCCUAGAGUCACCUAGGGCCACCAUGACCCUCCUAGGGUCGUCUAGGGCCGCCUUAACCCACCUUGACCCACUUUAACCCACCUUGCCUUAACCCGCUUGGACCCUCCUAGGUUUGCCUUGACCCACCUUAACAUGCAUUGGCCCGGCUUAACCCGUCUUGGAUCGCUUUGACCCGCCUUGACCCGCCAUGGCCUACCUUGGGCCGACUUAACCUGACUUGGGUCACCUUGACCCUCCUAGGGCAACCAAAAGGCCGCCUUGACCCGUCUAGAGCCACCAAGAGGCCACCUUGACUUGCUUAGGGCCGCCAAGCGACCCUCCUAGACCCGCCUUGGGCAGCCUUGACCCUCCUAGGCUCGUCUUGACUCGGCUAGGGCCACCAAGCGACCGCCUUGACCCGCCAAGGAGCUGUCUUGACCCUCUUAGACACACCUUGGACCGCCUUGACCCUCCUAAGCCCUCCCAGGCUCGUCUAAGGCAGCCAAAAGGCCGCCAAGGGGCUGCCUUGACCAUUCUAGACCCGCCUUGGGCCGCCAUGACCCUCCUAGGCCUUCAUAGGCACGGCUAGGGCAGCAAAUGAGCCGCCAUGACCUGCCUUAACCAGCCUUGACCUUCCUAGGCUCACCGAGGACCACCAAAGGGCCACCAUGACUCGCCAGGGGGUUGCCAUAACCCUCCUAGGCACUUCUAGGGCAAUCUUAACCCGUUUAGGGCCGCCUUGAUCCGCUUUGACCCUCCUAAGCCCUACUAGGCCCGCUUAGGGCAGCCAAGGGGCCGCCAUGACCCUCUUAAGGUUGCCAAAGGGAUCCCUAGGGGAGCCAAGUGGUCGCCUUAACCCUCUUAGGGCUACCAUGGGGCCGCCUUGACCAGUCUUGGUUCGCCAUGUCCCUCCUAUGCCCUCCUAGGUUCGCCUAAGGCAGCCAGAGGGACUUCUUGACCAGCCUAGACCCUCCUUGACUCUCCUAGACCCUCCUAGGCUCGCCUAGCACAGUCACGGGGCCGCCUUGACCCGCCUAGGCCUACCUUGACCCUCCUAGGGCAACCAAGGGCCCGCCUUGACCCUUCUAGGGCAGCUAAGGGGCUGCCUUGACCAGCCUUUGGGUUGCCAAGGGGCCGCCUUAACCUGCCUAGGGCCACCAAGCGCCGUCAUAACCCGCUAAGGAGCUGCCUUCACCCUCCUAGACCCGCCUUGGGCCGCUUUGAGCCUCCUAGGACCUUCUAGGCUAGCCUAGGGCAACAAAGGGGUCGCCUUGACCCGCCUAUGGCCGCCAAGCAGUCGCCUUGACCCGCCUUAACCCGCCUAGACCCUCCUAGGCUCGUCUAGGGCCACCAUGACCCUCCUAGUCCCGUUUAGGGCCGCGUUGGGCCGCUUUGACCCUCCUAGGCCCUCUUAGGCCUACCUAGGGCUGCCAUGACCUUCCUAAGGCCGCUAAGGGGUUGCCUANNNNNNNNNNNNNNNNNNNNGCAAUGACCUCUUAGGGCCGCCAAGGGGCUGCCUAGGGUUGUCAUUGGGCCGCCUUAACCUGUCUAGCCCCGUCUAUGGCCGCCUUGGGUCGCCUUGACCCACCUUGACACUUCUAGGGCAGCCAGAGGGCCGCCUUAACCAACCUAGGCCGCCAAGUGGCUGCCUUAAUACUCCUAGACCCACCUUGGCCGCCUUUACCCUCCUAGGCCCUCUCAAGCUCGCCUAGAACAGCUAAGGGGCAGUCUUGACCCGGCAAGGGCCGCAAAGGGGCCACCUUGACCUGUCCAGGGCCGCCAAGGGGUCGCCCUGACCCGCCUAGGCCUGCCUUGACCCGCCUUAGGCCGGGUUGACACACCUUGACCCGUCUAGGCUCAGGUUGUCACGCCUUAACCCGUAUUAGCCUGGCUUGACCCGCCUUAACCCGCCAUGGCCUGCCUUGGGCCACCUUGGGUCGCCUUGACUCUCCUAGGGCAGCCAAAAGGCCACCUUGACCCGUCUAGUGCCACCAAGCAACCACCUUGACGCGCCUUAACCCGUCUUAACCCGCUUUAAAUCGCCUUGACUCUCCUAGGGCAGCCAAGGGGCCGUCAUGACCCUCCUAGGGCCGCCAAGCGACCACCAUGACGUGCCUAGAGCCGCUUUUGACCCGUAUUGGCCCGCCUUAACCAUCCUUGGGCCGCCUUGACCCGCCUUGGGUCGCCUUAACCCUAUUAGGGCAGCUAAGAGGCCGCAUUGACCCGUCUAGGGCCACCAAGCGGCCGCCUUGACGUGCCUUGACCCACCUUAGGAAGCCUUGACCCCCCUUGACCCGCCUGGACCCUCCUUGGUCAGCCAAGGGACCACCUUGACCCGCCUAUGGCCGCUAAAGUGCCGCCUAGACCUGCCUAGGGCCGCCAAACCGUCGGCUUGACCCGCCUAGGCCUGCCUUGACCCUCCUAGGCUCAUCUAGGGCCACCAAGGGGCCACCAUGACUCGACAAGGGGUCUAGGAGGGUGAAGCGGCUGCCUUGACCUGCCUUGGGCAGCCAAGGGGCCGCCUUGACCCGCCUAGGGCCGCUAAGGGGUCCCCAUGACCAGCCUAGGCCUGCCUUGACCCUCUUAGGCUCGCCUAAGGCCACCAAGGGGCCGCUAUGACUCGACAAGGGUCGUCUUGACCCUCCUAGGCCCGUCUAAGGUCGCCUUGACCCGCCUAGGCCCUUCUAGGCUCGCCUAGGGCAGCCAAAGGGCCGCCCUUUAACCCUUCCGCCUUAGGGCCGGCCUUUAACCUUCGUCCCGUACGUCCAAGCGGCCGUUAUGGACCGCCUUAAACCCUGCCUUGACCCGCCUUGACCCUCCUAGGCUCACCUAAGGCCACCAAGGGGAUGUCAUGACUCACCAAGGGGUUGCCCAUGACCCUCCUAGGGCCGCCAAGGGGUUGCCUUGACCCGCUGAAGGCUGCCAUGGGGCCGCCUUGACCUGCUUAGGGCCACCUAGCGGCGACCUUGACCCUGCUAAGGCCUCCAAAGGGCCGCCUUGACCUGCCUAGACCCGGCUACGGCCGCCUUGACAUGUCUAGGGCUGCGAAGCGACUGCCUUGACCCGGCUAGGGCCACCAAGGGGCUGCCUUGACCCGUCUAGUGCCACUAAACGGCCAUCUUAACACACUUUAACCUGUCUUAACCCGUCUUAACCCACUUUAACCCUCUUAGGCCCGCCUAGGGUAGCCAAGCGGCCGCCAUGACCCUCCUAGGGCCUAAGCGGCCGCCUUGACGUGCCUACAGCCGUCUUGACCCGCAUUGGCCCACCUUGACCAUCCUUGGGCCGUCUUGACCCGCCAUGGCCUGCCUUGGAGUCUUGGCUGCCCUAGAGGCCACCUUGACUCAUCUAGGGCCACCAAGCGGCCGCCUUGACCCACCUUAGGAAGCCUUGACCCCCCUUCACCCGCCUGGACCCCCCUUGGUCAGCCAAGGGGCUGCCUUGACCCGCCUAGGGCCGCUAAAGGGGCACCUUGACUUGCCUAGGGCCGCCAAGCGGUCGGCUUGACCCGCCUUGACUAGCCUUGACCCGCCUUAACCUGCCUUGACCCUCUUAGGCUCGCCUAAGGCCACUAAGGGGCCAUCAUGACUCGACAAGGGGCCUAGGAGGCUCAAACGGCCACCUUGACCCGCCUAGGGCCGUUAAGGGGCCACCUUGACCUGCUUAGGGCCAUCCCUUGACCCGCCUUGACCUUCCUAGGCUCGGCUAUGGCCACCAAGGGGCCGUCAUGACUCGAUAAGGGUCGUCUUGACCCUCCUAGGCCCGUCUCAAGCCGCAUUGACCCGCCUAGGCUCGCCUAAGGCUGCCAAGGGGCUGCCUUGACAUGCCUAUGGCUGCUAAGGGGCCGCCUUGGCCUGCCAAAGGACGCCAAGCGGCAGUCAUGACCCGCCUAGGCCUUCCUUGGGGAACGCCUUGACCUGCCUCGACCCGCCUUGACCCGCAUAUGCUCACCUAGGGCCACCAAAGGGAUGCCAUGACUCACCAAGGAGCCGCCAUGACUCGCCAAGGGGUUGCCCAUGACCCUCCUAGGGCCGCCUUGACCUACCUAGACCCUGCUAGGGCCACCUUGACCCGCUUAGGGCUGCCAUGAGGCCACCUUGACUUGCCUAGGCCCGUUUAGGGCCGCCUUGUCCCUCCUUGACUCGUCUUGGCCCGCCUUUGGCCUCCUUGGCCCUCCUAGGCUCGCCUAAGCCAUCCUUGACCAGCGUUGGGCCGCUAAGGUGCUACGUUGACCCUCCUAGGCCCUCUUAGGCUCGCCUAGGGCAGCCAAUAGGCCGCCUUGACUCGCCAUGACCUUCCUUGACCCGCCUAGACCUCCCUUGACCCGCCUUGAUCCGCCUAUGCCCAUCUAGGGCCGCCUUGACCCGCUUUGACCUGCCUUGACUCGCCUGGACCCUCUUAGGCUUGCCUAGGGCCACAAUGACCCUCCUAGGCCCGUCUAGGGCCGCCUUGGGCCGCUUUGACCCUCCUAGGCCCGCCUAGGGCAGCCAAGGGUCUGCCAUGACCCUCCUAGGGUGGCCAAGGGGCCGCCUUGACCCUCCUUAACCCGCCUUGACCCUCCUAGGCUCACCUAGGGCCACCAAGGGGCCGCCAUGACUCGCAAAGGGGUCGCCAUGUUCCUCCUAGGCUCGUCUAGGGCCGCCUUGACCUGUCUAGGGUCGUCUUGACCCGUCUUGGGCCGCCUUAACUCGUCUUGGGCCGCUUUGACCCUCCUAGGCCCGCCUAGGGCAGCCAAGGGGCCGCCUUGACCCUUCUAGGGCCGCCAAGGGGCUGCCUUAACCCGCUUAGGGCUGCCAUGGGGCCGUCUUGACCCGCUUAGGGCUGCCAUGGGCCCGCCUUGACCCGUUUAGGGCCUCCUUGACCCGGCUAGGGUCACUAAGGGGGCCGCUUUCACCCGUCUAAGGCCGCCAAGGGGCAGCCUUAACUUGCUUAUGUACUGUCGCCAAGGGACCGCCUAGGGCCGCCUUAACCCGAGUAGGGUCACCAAGAGGCCGCCUUGACCCUUCUAGGGUCGCCAAGAGGCCGCCUUAACUUAUCUAGGUCCACCAAGGGCCGUCUUGACCCGGCUAGGGCUUCAGUUCUUCUCAUACUGACCUCGGGAACCUAAAUUUUGAAAAAGCAUAUGUGUUACCCAUCUUUUCAAGUUUCACCAAAUUUCAGCCAAAACCUCUUGUUAUAGUACACGAGUUUUUGAGAAAUUUCACUAUUUCUGAACGUUUGGUUUUUUUCCAAUCUUAUGUGCUUUUACACAUCUUCUAACAUCAAUUGAACCAUUGUAGCAUCAAAAGCUCAUGACCUUUAUCAUUUUACUCACAAUCGAGCCUAAAUGACUCGCGACAACUUUGUUUGGUAAGGGUGUUGGAACUGUUGCUAUCAGUGGAACAAGGUGAAUCGCCAUGCUUGUGGAGUCUUCAAUUCUUCUCAUACUAACCUCGGAAACCUAAAUUUUUAAAAAGUGUACGUGCUACCCAUCUUUUCAAGUUUCACCAAAUUUCAGCCAAAACCCCUUGUCCCCACACGAGUUUUUGAGAAAUUUCAAUUUUACUGAACGUCUGUUUUUUUUCCAUUCCUAUGUGCUUACACACAUCACCUAACAUCAAUUGAACCAUUAUAACAUCAAAAGCUCAUGGCCUUUAUCAUUUCACUCACAAUCGAGCCUAAAUAUAGAUCAACUAACAUGAAUUGAACCAUUAUAGCAUCAAAAGCUCGUGGCCUUUAUCAUUUUACUCGCAAUCGAGCCUAAAUGACUCACGACAACUUUAUUUGGUAAAGGGGUUGGAACUGUUACUUUCAGUGGAACAAGGUGAAUCGCCAUGCUUUUGGAGUCUUCAAUUCUUCUCAUACUGACCUCGGGAACCUAAAUUUUGAAAAAGCGUACGUGUUACCCAUCUUUUCAAGUAUAACCAAAUUUCAGCCAAAACUCCUUGUUAUAGCACACGAGUUUUUGAGAAAUUUCAUUUUUUCUGAACGUCUGCUUUUUUCCAUUCAUGUGUUCUUAUAUAGAUCAGCUAACAUGAAUUGAACCAUUAUAGCAUCAAAAGCUCGUGACCGUUAUCAUUUCACUCGCAAUCGAGCCUAAAUGACUCAUGACAACUUUAUUUGGUAAAGGUGUUGGAACUGUUACUUUCAGUUUCAGUGAGUUUUAGUGGAACAAGGUGAAUCGCCAUGCUUUUGGAGUCUUUAAUUCUUCUCAUACUGACCUCGGGAACCUAAAUUUUGAAAAAGCGUACGUGUCACCCAUCUUUUCAAGUUUCACCAAAUUUCAAGCAAAACCUCUUAUUAUAGCACACGAGUUUUUGAGAAAUUUCAUUUUUUCUGAACAUCUGGUUUUUUUUUUCCAUUCUUGUGUUCUUAUACACAUCACCAUACAUCAAUUGAACCAUUAUAGUAUCAAAAGCUAGUGACCUUUAUCAUUUUACUCGCAAUCGAGCUUAAAUAACUCAUGAUAACUUUGUUUGGUAAAGGUGUUGGAACUGUUACUUUCAGUUGAACAAGGUGAUUCGCCAUAAUUUUAGAGUCUUCAAUUCCUCUCAUACUGACCUCGGGAACCUAAAUUUUGAAAAACCGUACUUGUUACCCAUCUUUUCAAGUUUCACCAAAUUUCAACCAAAACCCCUUGUUAUAACACAUGAGUUUUUGAGAAAUUUCACUUUUUCUAAGCCUCUGGUUUUUUUCCAUCCUAGGCUCGCCUAGUCCCACCAAGGGGCCCCCAUGACUCGCCAAGGGGUCGCAAUGACCCUACUAGGCCCGUCUAGGGCCGCCAUGACCCACCUUUGGCCGCCUUGAUGCGCCUUGGGCCCCUUGACCCUCCAAGGCCCUUCUUGGCUCGCCUAAGGCAGCUAGGGGGCCGCCUUAACCAGUCUAGGGCCGCCAAGGGUUGCCUUGACCCUCUUGGACCUGCCUUUGGCUGCCUUGACCUAUCUAGGGCUGCCAAGGGGCCGCCUUGACCCAUCUUGGCCCACCGUGGGCCACUUUGACCCACCUUAACCCGCCUUCGGCGCCUUAACCCGGCUUUACCCUCCUUGGGCCGCCUUGACCCCCCUAAGGCCACCAAGGGGAUGCCUUGACCCAUCUAAGGCCACUUAGGGGCGCCUUGACCCGACUAGGGCCGCCAUGACUAGCCAAGUGCCCGCCUUGGCCCGCCUAAACCAUAAACCAUUGACCCUCCUAGGCCCACCUUGACCUGCCUUGUCCCGCCAUAACCACCUUAGACUGCCAAGGGGACGCCUUGACCCGCCUUGGGCCGCCUUAACCCCCCUAAGGCAGCCUUGACCCGUUUUGACCCGCCUAGAGCCGCCAAGCGGCCGCCUUGACCCGCCUUGAUCAGCCUUGCGUCGACUUGACCCACCUUUGGCCUCCUUGACCCGGCUUGGGCCGCCUUGACCCGGCUUAGGUCGCCUUGGCCCAUUUUAACCCGCCUAAACCCACCUUGACCAAUCUUGACCCUCCUAGGGCAUCUUAGGCUCGCCAAAGGGUCGCCAUGACCCUCCUAGGCCCGUCAAUGGCUGCCUUGACCCGUUGUCUUAACCCGCCUUGGGCUGCUUUAACCCUCAUAGGCAAUAAUAAGCCUACCUAGGGCAGCCAAGGGGUCACCAUGACCCUUGUAGGGCUGCAAAAUAGCAGCCUUGACCAGCUUAGGGCUGCUAGGGGGCCGCCUUGACGCGACUAGAGACGCCUUUACCUAUCUAGGGCCACCUUGACCCACCUUGGCCCACUUUGGCUGCCUAGGGCCGCCAAGGGGCCGCCUUGACAUGCCUAGGACCUCCUUGACCCGUCUUAACCCGCCCUGACCCUCGUAGGCUCGCCUAGGGCCAUUAAGGGGCCACCAUGACUAGCCAAGGGGGGUCUCUAUGACCCUCCUAGGCCCGUCUAGGGCCACAUUGACCCGCCAUGGCCUGCCUUGACCCUUCUAGGGCCACCAAACGGCCGCUUUGACGCACCUUGACCUGCAUUUACCCGCCUUGACCCUCCUAGGCUCGCCUCAGGCCACCAAGGGGCCGCCAUGACUCGCCAAGGGUCGCCACGACCCUCCUAGGCUCCUCUAGGGGUGCCUUAACCUGCCUUGGGCCGCUUUGACCCUUCUAGUCCUGCCUAGGGCCGCCAAGUGGCCGCCUUGACCCGCUUUAGGCUGUCAUGAGGCCGCCUUGACGCACUUAGGGCCGCCAAGCGGUAGCCUUAACGCUCCUAGAGCCGCCUUGACCCGCAUUGGCCCGCUUUGACCCGCCUUGACAUACCAUGGCCUGCCUUGGGCCGCCUUGACCCGCUUGGACCUGCCCUGGGCAGCCAAGGGGCUGUCUUGACCCGCCUAGGGCCGCUAAGGGGCCACCUUGACUUGCCUAGUCCCGCCAAACGGUCUCCUUGACCCACCCUAACCCUCAUUCACCCUCCUAAGCUCGCCUAGAGCCACCAAGGGGCCGCCAUGAUUAGCCAAGGGGUCGCCUUGACCUUCCUAGGCCCGUCUAGGGCCGUCUUGACCCGUCUGGGGACGCCUUGACCAACCUUGGGCCACCUUGACCCAUCUUGGGCCGCUUUGACCCUCCUAGGGCAGCCAAGGGGCCACCAUGACCCUCCUAGGGUCGCCAAGCGGCCGCCUUGACCUGCUUUGACCNNNNNNNNNNNNNNNNNNNNCCGCCUAGGCCUGCCUUGUCCCAUCUUGACCCGCCAUGGAGGCCGCCUUAACCCGCUUUGACCCUCUUAGGCUCGAGGGCCACCAAGGGGCCGCCAUGACUCACCAAGGCCCAUCUAGGGCCGCCUUGACCCAUUUAGGACCGCCUUGAUCCGUCUAGGUCCGCCAUAACCUGCUUUGACCCUCCUAGGGCAGCCAAGGGGCCGCCUUGACCCAUCUUGGGUUGCCAUGGGACCGCCUUGACCUACCUAGGCCCGUCUAGGGCCACCUUGACCCGACUUGGGCCGCCUUAGUGCUCUUUUGGCCGCCUUAGGUUGCCUUGACCCUCUUAGGCUCGCUAGGGCAGCCCGCCAAAGGGUCGCCAUUAGGCCAAUUGACCCUCCUAGGCCCUCCAAGGGCAGCCAAAGGGGCCGCCUUGACCCUCUUGGGGCAGCCAAAUGGGCCGUCUUGACCCUCCUAGGCCCUCCUAGGGUAGCCAUGGGGCCACCUUGACCUGCCUAGAGUCGCCAAGCAGCCGCCUUGACCCGCAUUGACCCACCUUGACGCGUCAUGGCCCGGCUUGAGCCGCCUUGACCCGCCUUGGGUCGCCUUGACCUUCCUAGGGCAGCCAAGAGACCGCUUUGACCUGUCUAGGGUGACCAAGCGGUCACCUUGACGUGCCUUGACCCGCCUUGAUCUGCCUUGACCUUUCUAUACCCGCCUUGGUCCGCCUUGACCCGCCAAGGAGCUUCCUUGACCCUCUUAGACCCACAUUGGUCCCCUUGACAUGCCUUGACCCUCCUAGGCUCGCCUUCACCUGCUGAGAACCGCCUUGACCCGCCUUGACCCACCUAGGCCCGCCUAGGGCAGCCAAGUGGCAGCCAUGCCCAUAACCCUCCAAGGGUCGCCAAGUGGCCGCCUUAACCCGCUUAGACCUACCAUGGGACGCCUUGACCCGCCUUGGGCCGCCUUGACCUGCUUAGGGCCGCUAAGCAGCCGUCUUGACCCGCCUUAACCCCCCUUAACCCACCUUGGGCCGCCAAGGACCCACCUUGACCCUCCAGGGCAGCCAAGGUGCUACCCUGACCUGCCUAGGGUCACCAAGCGGCCACCUUGACCCUCCUAAACUCGCCUUCACUUGCGUAGGCCCUCCUAGGCUCGCCUAACGCAGCCAAGGGGCCGCUUUGACCCGCGUAAGGCCGCUUAAACCUGCUCAGGGCCGCCAAGCGGUCACCAUGACCCGCGUAGGCCUGCCUUGACCCACCCUGGCCCGCCUUAAUCCUCCUAGGCUCGUCUAGGACCAACAAGGGGCCGCCAUCACUCACCAAGGGGUCGCCAUGACCCUCCUUGACCUGUCUAGGGCCGCCAUGACCCGCCUUAUGCCGCUUUGACCCCCCCUAGGUCCGCCUAGGGCAGCCAAGGGGUUCCAUGACCCUUCUAGGGCUGCCAAGGGGCCGCCUAGGGCCGCCUUGACCCGCAAAGGGCUGCCAUGGGGCCGUCUUGACCUGCUUAGGGCCGUCAAGAGGCCGCUUUGACGCGCCAAGAGCCGUCUUGACCCGCCUUUACCCUCCUAGGGCAGCCAAGGGGCCGCCUUGACCCGCCUAGGGCCGCUAAGUGGCCGUUUAGACCUGCCUAUGGCCGCCAAGUGGUCGCCUAGACCCGUCUUGACCGGCCUUAAUCCACUUAGACCCUCCUAGGCUCGCUUAGGGCCACCAAGGGGUCGUCAUGACCCUCUUAGGGCCGCCUUGGGCCGCUUUGACUCUCCUAGGCCCACCUAAGGCAGCCAAGCUUUGGCCGCCAAGUGGCCUCCUUGACUUGCUUAGGGCCGCCAAGCGACCCUCCUAAACCUGUUUUGACCCUCCUAGGCUCGCCAUGACUCAGCUAGAGCCGCCAAGGGGCUGCCUUGACCCUCCUAGACCCGUAUUGGGCCGCCUUGACCCUCCUAGGCCCUCCUAGGCUCGCCUAGGGCAGCCAGAGGGCCGCCUUGACCUGCCUAGGGCAGCCAAGGGGCCGCCUUGACCCGCCUAGGCCUGUCUUGGCCCACCUUGACUCGUCUAGGGCCGGGUUGACACGCCUUGGGCCGCCUUGACCCUCCUAAAGUUUGAGGCAGCCAUGGUAGGGAACUAAUCUCUUAUUAGAUUUAGAAGACUAUCAUGCCCAAAGAUGGGGAACUAAAUGUUUCUUCUCACUCUUGUUUGGGUUAUAGGAUGUAAAUAUAUAUACUUAUACUUGAGGGUUUUUGGCCAAAAAAACUGUCUAAGCUUGAACCUAUAUAGCCCUUCAUAUGUAUCCGCCCAUGUAGACGGCCGAUGCCAAUAUACUCUAAAUUUCAAAAUUGACUUCAAUGAUUACAUCACAAGCUGAGUUGGCCCAAACAUGUUGACCCACUUUUACAAACAAUGAACCCCUUAGAAGGAUAUAAUGGACAUUUUCACAUUCCACCCUAAAAUUAAAAACAUAAACGCUCUAGCAAUAAUGCAAUAGUGCAACAGUGCAAAACCACAACUCUUCCUAUUUCUCAAAUGAAGGGUGAAAGGCUGAAAAAUGGGUCACUAUGUCGACUCCAACUCACCAGAUGACGUCACAUUUUGAACUAAAUUCAAAUUUUGGACUAGAGUGAUGCAUUUUAAAAGUUUAGGCAUUGAACUGAUUAAAAAAAAUAUCAGAGACUGAACUGAUUUUAGCCCUAAAGUUUGAGGGGGUAAACUGAAUUUAAUCCUUUUUUUAUUAUGACAUUAAUAAAGAUUUGUGCAUUUAGAC
Molecule: long non-coding RNA, 13305 nt
Filed under: Fragaria vesca (wild strawberry)
Lineage: Eukaryota; Viridiplantae; Streptophyta; Magnoliopsida; Rosales; Rosaceae
Description: long non-coding RNA (FVES_LNC002158)
Source: RNAcentral